This 3428-nucleotide unclassified non-coding RNA is filed under the name Rhipicephalus microplus (southern cattle tick). RNAcentral's name for it is "signal transducer and activator of transcription 5A- like, transcript variant X6". Lineage: Eukaryota; Metazoa; Arthropoda; Arachnida; Ixodida; Ixodidae. The record is from RNAcentral.
CCUCGAACACUCGCCGCCUGCGUUUGCUCGGCGUCGCGUGCGACCAGCAGCAACUACCGGCCAGACUUGUCAACUCACAGGGAAGUGUGACAUUGCGCCGAAGUAUACCCUUCCGGGAACGACUAGCUACAACCUCGUUUCUUUCAUUGCCGGCGACUCGUUUUGCGGCUUGGGACGCUCGAAGAGCCACUGGGCUUUCUUGAGUGUUGUGCAGUGAAGCUUCGCCCAUCUCUACUGGCUUUUUCUAAGAAGUGUUAUGAGCGACAUCGGAGUUCGACUACGAAGGGUGGUGUAGGCACCCACCGAGAGCGUGCGGGUAGGCGGUAACGGGCGAGAGCAGCAUGGCGCUCUGGGCCCGUCUGCAGGAGCUUCCCGGGGAGCUGUUGCGUCAGUGUCAGCUGGCCUAUGGCGAGCACUUUCCCAUGGAGGUUCGAUGCGCUCUUGCCCACUGGAUCGAGGGGAAGCCGUGGCAGGAGAUGGACCCUGAUAACCCCUCUUUCGAUAUGUACGCACCGGGCGUGGUGGCCUCUCUGCUUGAGGAGCUGCAACACAAGGCCUCUACCGAGGAUAACUUUGUCAUGCGGCUCAAGCUUCUGGAGGCUGUGAACACCUUUAAGCAAAACUACGGCCACAACCCCCACGCCCUGGUUCGUGUGAUCAAGAACUGCCUUGCGACUGAGAUGCGCAUAAUCCAGCAGGCAGAGAACUGCAGUCGGCUCGCCUCCCACAUGCCGGGCCCUCACGAUCCACACAGUGAAAUAACCCAGCAGCUGGACACGUUGAGAAGGCGCACGCAGGAGACGGAGGACGAACUUCGCCGCAUGAUCCAGAUUCAGGAGUCUUUCGUGAUCCAGUACCAGGAGUGCCAGAAGCUGCAAGCGCACUACCAGCAGCUUUCAACGCAGAACACCGGCGGCCAAACCAACGUGGACCUGAUCAACAAGAUCCACAACGAGACCAAGGCCAUGGAGCAGGCCAUUCGGCAGCGAAUCGGCGAGCUGCGGGAAAUGCGCGUUGCCUUUGCAGAGAAGCAGCAGGAGACAACAAAUAUGCUGGCCGCACUACAGACACGAGUGCUGGACAAUGAGCUCAUUAAGUGGAAACGUGCCCAACAACUUGGUGGGAAUGGCGUUACUUUCGAAAACAACCUUGACCAGAUCCAAGAGUGGUGCGAAGCCCUGGCAGAGCUUAUCUGGCAGAACUGGCAGCAGAUCAAGAGGAUGGAGCAUUUGGCAUUGCAGGUGCCCAUCGGAGGAGGCCAGGCUCCACAAAUAUCCGAGCGCUUUAAGACCCUCAACGCCCAUAUCACUAGCCUACUUUCCUCACUCGUCACCAGCACAUUCAUUAUUGAGAAGCAGCCUCCACAAGUUAUGAAGACGAACACUAGGUUCACAGCCACUGUGCGCCUUCUGGUUGGGGGAAAGUUGAACGUCCACAUGACGCCGCCUCAGGUUAAGGUGUCUAUCAUCAGUGAAAGCCAGGCAAAUGCCCUGCUAAAGAGCGAGAAAGUUGGUGUUGGAGAGGCAAGUGGAGACAUCCUGAAUAAUACUGGGACCAUGGAGUACCACCAGGGUACAAGGCAACUGAGUGUCAGCUUUAGGAACAUGCAAUUGCGGAAAAUCAAGCGAGCAGAGAAAAAAGGCACUGAGUCUGUCAUGGAUGAGAAAUUCGCACUGCUGUUCCAAUCGCAGUUCAAGGUUGGAGGUGGAGAGCUAGUGUUCCAGGUUUGGACGUUGUCACUACCAGUGGUGGUGAUCGUGCAUGGAAAUCAGGAGCCACAUGCCUGGGCCACAGUAACCUGGGACAAUGCUUUCGCCGAGCCGAAAAGGAGACGUCCUUCCCCCCACAACCAGAGCCGUGUUCCGUUUGCGGUGCCCGACAAGGUUCCCUGGCACCAGCUGGGUGAGGUGCUCAGCAUGAAGUUUAAGUCUGCGACGGGGAGGGGCCUGUCUGAGGACAACCUGCGGUACCUUGCUGGAAAGAUCUUCCGCGGCCAACCGAUUAAGGACGGCAACAACACGCUUGUCAGCUGGUCUCAAUUCUGCAAGGAGCCGUUACCAGAACGGAACUUCACUUUCUGGGAAUGGUUUUACGCCAUCAUGAAAGUCACCCGCGAGCACCUACGAGCAUUGUGGAAUGACAGUGUGGUGUGGGGCUUCGUUGGCCGCCGCGAGGCAGAUGAAAUGCUUCGACAAGGCUGCAAUGGGACAUUCCUGCUGCGUUUCAGCGACUCUGAGCUGGGCGGCGUCACCAUUGCAUGGCUCCAUGAGGAUCCUCAGCAAGACUCAAAGAAGUGAUAAUGAUCCAGCCGUUCACAAGUCGAGACUUCACAAUCCGAAGCCUGGCAGAUCGGGUGAGCGAUCUCCAGCAGCUCACCUUCAUGUACCCCGACAUACCCAAGGAUCAGGCGUUUGGGAAGUACUACACUCCUGUUACAGACACUCAGUCUGCCACCAGCAAUGGCUAUGUGAAGCCAGUCCUUGUCACUCAGAUACCAGGGUUGUCGGGGAUGUUGAACCUCGUUGACAGCAACCCAUCGACGCCUCAGUCCUAUUUCCACUCACACUCGCCGGACGCUGGAGCGAGCAUCUACCACGACGGUUCCUCCCUUGACCAGGCCAUGCAGUAAGUGUGUACUUGCUGCCUGCCUACCGGUCUGUGUCACUUUCCCUUUCCCCCCCUCCUAUCCUCUGCCGUUUAUCCCUUGCCUUCCCUGCCUCUUGCACAUCCGGGAGCCGUAGGGCUCCCUCAUGUCACGCAAACCGUUCCUGGCAUCACCGCCCCGCUUACCCUCCCUGCCUUCCUUCCUCCUUUCCUCCAAAAGUGAGAAGAAGGUGGAUCCGACGAUGCUGUGGCCUUCGAGGAGUUGGACCGGCAAUCCUCUGUCCUCCUCUUAAAGGCGGCGUCAUCUGGCUUGCCUCCUGGACUGCGUAAAGUGUGUGCAAUGGGAGGAGGAUUUGGUUUCGGAGCGCGCAACCUGCUUGGCUUUUCCUGGAAGCCAUCGAAGGGGAAUUUUGUGAGAAAGAAACCAAAAGAGGACAGUGUGUCGAGCGCUACUUGCCUGUCGAGCAGCCAACGUACCCAUGCAUUCAUUUCUUCUCUUUUUUCAUCUGAUAAUGACGCGGGUGUGUGCAGGGUGUCGCUGUAAUAUCUCUUGCGAGACCCCCGCUCCCUUGUUUUCUGUUCAAAUAGUUCUCUUAUUAUAUUUGGAAGUACUGCAGUGCGUACUGUUACAAGUGCUCCAAUAUAUCGCUUGUAAUCAUAUUUUCUUUUAUCUCAUUAUUUAGUAUGUGUUUUGUCAUUUUUAACCUCAUUUCUAACUCGUUUCUAAGCAGCUGUUCUUUCUUUUAUAUUAGCUCAUUUUUUCGCAAAGACAUUGCGCAAACUGUGCAUAUUUUGCACUCUUAAAGAAUAUACAUUUACUUCCC